AGAAACUGAGUCCCAAAGGAGUUAAGCUGAACUUGCGUAUAAUCGUGCAUUUAUUAAUCGGCAGAAACAGGGAUCCAAACCCAAAUCUUCUGCCUUCAAAUCCAGGACUCUUUCUGCUGUGCCACAUUGCCUCUCAUUCCAAGUCGUCUGCUUCCCAAGCAAAAUUUGCUUACUCCCAAGCACGUUGACUGCUCCUUCCUGCUCACCCUGAACACUACAACUUCUCAAUCUGGAAAAAGAAUUGAGCAAUGCUGCAAUUUGAACCAUACAACCUUAAUUCUAUCAUGUUGUUGAAUGGGGAAGUCCCAGAGGAUGCCCUAUGAAUUGCCAAGUGAAGGCAGCCCAAGCUUUGUGCGGGAAGCUAAGCAGUGAUUCAGGAGCCCUUCUGCUAUGCAUGAUUAUGGUUGGAAUGUUCUACAAGUCGGGCUUCCUGGAAAUAUUUCUGCCCACAAGAACUUGAAUUCCUGAAUUGUCUAUCAUUCAUAUCUAGUGUUUGACAUUUUCAAGUAAUUCCGGAGUCAUUGUGUCCUUCCUUCCCACUCCCACUUCCUCUGAGGUAUGUAAGUGCAACCAUCCCUCUCUGUAAUCCUGGACCACCUAAGCCCAGAGUCAUGUGGCUGACCAGCAAAUGCAGAAACCAAGACCAAGAGAAGACAUUUAUUCAAGGUCAUAUGAGUGACCUUGUAAAUCCCCGAAGAGCUGGGAUUCAAACCAAGGUGCUCUGAUGCGAGAUUUGUUACUCUUCACUAAGCCAUACUCCUCA
Long non-coding RNA from Vombatus ursinus (common wombat), 763 nucleotides. RefSeq lists it as uncharacterized. The transcript is spliced from 3 exons. Lineage: Eukaryota; Metazoa; Chordata; Mammalia; Diprotodontia; Vombatidae. The record is from RefSeq and is a predicted model, not a curated record.